CCAUCGCCAUCUCUCCUCCCAAGCCAGAAAAUCUAUUCUGCCUGCUGAAAAUGUACGAGGGCUUGGCCGAUCUCGUGCCCGAAGUCGGAGGUUUAUUCUCUCCCGAAGGCUCCGCUGCUUCCAUCACGGCGGAAUGCCGCGAGAUUCUCUGCAAAAUCGGCGAAUCAGUCAGGGCCUCCUUCAGCAUGUUCAAGACAGCCGUCCGGAAGAAAACCACCACCUCUCCGUUCCCGGGAGGGGGACCCGUUCAUCUGACCAAAUACGUUAUGAACUACCUCAGCGUCAUCCCCGAUUAUCGCCAGACGCUCUGCUUGCUGCUGGAGGGCCAACGCGAUGGGGAGGAAGAAGACGACGGAGGCGGCGAGGUGGCCUCCGGCGACACCUCCCCCCUGAGGCGCGGCCUCAUCUCGGUGGCGGUGGUUCUCGAGGAGAACCUCCGCACCAGGUCCUUGCUGUACACGGACCCCGCCCUGCAGCAUUUCUUCAUGAUGAACAACAUCCACUACAUGGUGAAGAAGGUCAGGGACUGCGAGCUUCACGAGCUGUUUGGGGACGACUGGGUACGAGCUCACAGCGUCCAAGUCCAGCAGCACGCCCUGAACUACCAAAGGAAUUCAUGGAGCUCGAUCCUCACCUUCUUCAGAGACGACGGGAUCUUCAGCCGCGGCUCCAGCCAUCCUUCCACGACCGUCCUCAAGGAGAAGUUCAAGAGCUUCAACCUCGCCUUCGAAGAAAUCUACAGGACACAGACGGGAUGGCUGAUCCCCGACGACCGGCUGCGG
Molecule: long non-coding RNA, 782 nt
Filed under: Spirodela polyrhiza (greater duckweed)
Lineage: Eukaryota; Viridiplantae; Streptophyta; Magnoliopsida; Alismatales; Araceae
Description: long non-coding RNA (SPOL_LNC001288)
Source: RNAcentral